Molecule: ribosomal RNA, 520 nt
Filed under: uncultured Glomus
Lineage: Eukaryota; Fungi; Glomeromycota; Glomeromycetes; Glomerales; Glomeraceae
Description: SSU rRNA
Rfam family: Eukaryotic small subunit ribosomal RNA
Source: RNAcentral
AGCAGCCGCGGUAAUUCCAACUCCAAUAGCGUAUACUAAAGUUGUUGCAGUUAAAAAGCUCGUAGUUGAAUUUCGGGGUUAGUAGGUUGGUCACGCCUCUGGUAUGUACUGGUCUCACUGAUUCCUCCUUCCUGAUGAGCCGUAAUGCCAUUAAUUUGGUGUUGCGGGGAAUUUGGACUGUUACUUUGAAAAAAUUGAGUGUUCAAAGCAAGCUAACGCUUGAAUACAUUAGCAUGGAAUAAUGAAAUAGGACGUUCGAUCCUAUUUUGUUGGUUUCUAGGAUUGACGUAAUGAUUAAUAGGGAUAGUUGGGGGCAUUAGUAUUCAAUUGUCAGAGGUGAAAUUCUUGGAUUUAUUGAAGACUAACUACUGCGAAAGCAUUUGCCAAGGAUGUUUUUCAUUAAUCUAAGAACGAAAGUUAGGGAUCGAAGACGAUCAGAUACCGUCGUAGUCUUAACCAUAACUAUGCCGACUAGGGAUCGGAUGAUGUUAAUUUUUANGUACUUCAUUCGGCGCCGUUA